AAUUGUACUUUACGCCGUACUUGGGAGCCAUCAUCUAACAAAGGCAGAUCGGGAGUAGCGCAAACAGCACGUCAAAGAGGAAAACGUCUGCACUUGGCUUCUUGUCCUGGACAGAAUUGGGGGUCUAUUUGACCUUGGCAAUGACAAUCUCCGUCUGACCCCCUUCCCUUCUUGGAGACCAAGAUGACUUUUGGCUGAAGCAGAGCAUAAGUGGAAAUGUGCCAGGCUGAGCGAGUAAAGCCCCCAGCACGGUUGCACACUGGCUCGACUUUCACAGCCAGCGCCAAUGGAGAAGAGACCGUUUCCAGUGCCUCAGAACCUGCUGUGGACCGUCUCCUUCUUAUGGAAUUUCCUCCCCUCAAAAUAGAUACACUCUUUGCUUCACAGCCGUGAAACGAAAAAUUGAAAACAUGGGAAACGUCUCUGCAUGUCUGUGACUCUGGGCACCCUACACGAGUCUCCUCUAUCGGAUGAAGGUGUUUCUGCUAAAUGCUUCAAGCAGAGGCUACAAAUUGCACACCACUCUUAGAGACUGACCAUGACAAGUCAUUUAUCUGAGACUCCACAAAGUUACAAGGAUGGGCCUGUUGAGUGCUUUUUAGAGUUUACCGGGUGCAUCUGACCAUUGAACCUUUUCUCAGGUGACGUUCACGACUUCUUAGAGACAACCUUCCCUGGGAACUUAGUUUGGGGUGGUGCCACUGUAGAACGUGCAUUUAUGUCCAAGCUAGCUGGGUGGCUUACAUCUGUAAUCCCCGUACUGGGAGGCUGGGGCCUGAAAACUGUUGUGAGUUUGAACCUAGCCGAGGCUACACAGUGAGUCCCAGCUGGCCUGGCCUACAGAGUGAGAGUCUAUCUCCGGGGGUAGGGGGAUGGAAAUGCAUUUUUUUUAUAAUACACACUAACUAGUGACAUCUGCAAUAUUUUAAAUCAUUAACACGUUCUUCGGGAUGCAUUUUGAUUUUAUGUGUCUCAGUGUUUUGUCUGUAUGUCUGUGCAUCACAUGCAUGCAGUGCCUGCAAAGGCCAGAAGGGGGCGUCAGAGCCUCUGGAACUAGAGUUACAGACAGUUGUACCCAACCAUGUUGGGAACCAAACCUGGGUCAGAGCAGCCAGAGCUCUUGACUGAUGAACCCUCCCUCCAGGCCCUGUGUUGUGUUGUUAAAUUAUAAAAUAGGUUGUGAGAUGUCUUUAUUGUGUAAGAAAACUUUUGUUAAUAUAUUUUCAAUGUAAUGCACUCUUGAAUGGCUCAGGCUUGGAAUCUUUAUGAACCACAUCUUAAUUUUUAUUAUUAUCCUUAUAUGUGUUGUUAUUAUUAUCUUUAUAAUCUAUUUUUUAACUUCUUGAUAUUAUCUUUAUUGACUUUUAUAACAUUGUUAAAUGCAAUUUUCACCAAUAUACAUAAGUGGA
Molecule: long non-coding RNA, 1409 nt
Organism: Peromyscus californicus insignis
Lineage: Eukaryota; Metazoa; Chordata; Mammalia; Rodentia; Cricetidae
Exons: 3
Source: RefSeq, a predicted model, not a curated record